GAGCUGGGGUUUGAUCCAUUGGAAAAUGACACAAAGAUAUGACUCACGCUGGAGAGUUUUUGUGGUUAUAUGGUCAACUGUUAUUUAAGGUCUACAGUUCAGUAGUUUCUUUGCCUUUGGCAGCAUAAUACUAUAAGGACACACAAAGAGUGGAGAACUCAGAAUCAACAAACUGGAGGCCAGAUGGUUGCUGCACAGAAGGACUAGAGUGCCAUGCUACUCCUGAAUCUGACUUUGCCCUUGAGGAACAUCCAUCAAUCAGGAAUUUGUGUGACGACAACAACAACCAUACAUUUUCCCAAUGCUCUGAACACACAAAAGAGACACAUCACGCUGGCCUUAAUGAAGAAUCAGAGAGUGAAGAUCCUCUUCACAUAGAUACAUUUGGUCACCCCCUACAUGAGUUUGUUGAGGAGGGAACUUAAGAUCAUAACCAGUCAUCUGAUGAUGACCUGUCCUUUGAUGAAGACCUAUUAUGUGAAGACAGUGCAGAAGCGAACAACUUGGUUUAAAAUGCCUUGGAAGUGUUUUUUUGGAAAGGACCAACAUGUAAAAUCAAUUAAAAUGAGCAUGGUGUAUCUGA
Molecule: non-coding RNA, 583 nt
Organism: Labrus bergylta (ballan wrasse)
Lineage: Eukaryota; Metazoa; Chordata; Actinopteri; Labriformes; Labridae
Source: RefSeq, a predicted model, not a curated record